This is a long non-coding RNA of Oncorhynchus tshawytscha (Chinook salmon), 514 nucleotides long. NCBI's taxonomy places the organism in Eukaryota, Metazoa, Chordata, Actinopteri, Salmoniformes, Salmonidae. The record is from Ensembl.
GCUGAAUACAACAGGUGUAGUAGACCUUACAGUGAAAUGCUGAAUACAACAGGUGUAGUAGACCUUACAGUGAAAUGCUGAAUACAACAGGUGUAGUAGACCUUACAGUGAAAUGCUGAAUACAACAGGUGUAGGUAGACCUUACAGUGAAAUGCUAAAUACAACAGGUGUAGUAGACCUUACAGUGAAAUGCUGAAUACAACAGGUGUAGGUAGACCUUACAGUGAAAUGCUGAAUACAACAGGUGUAGGUAGACCUUACAGUGAAAUGCUGAAUACAACAGGUGUAGUAGACCUUACAGUGAAAUGCUGAAUACAACAGGUGUAGUAGACCUCACAGUGAAAUGCUGACUACAACAGGUGUAGGUAGACCUUACAGUGAAAUGCUGAAUACAACAGGUGUAGUAGACCUUACAGUGAAAUGCUGAAUACAACAGGUGUAGUAGACCUUACAGUGAAAUGCUGAAUACAACAGGUGUAGGUAGACCUUACAGUGAAAUGCUGAAUACAACAGG